GGAAUUUUCCGCAAUGGGCGAAAGCCUGACGGAGCAAUACCGCGUGAGGGAAGACGGCCUAUGGGUUGUAAACCUCUUUUCUCAGGGAGGAAAUCAAUGACGUUACCUGAGGAAUAAGCAUCGGCUAACUCCGUGCCAGCAGCCGCGGUAAGACGGAGGAUGCAAGUGUUAUCCGGAAUCACUGGGCGUAAAGCGUCUGUAGGUGGCUUAACAAGUCAACUGUUAAAUCUUGAAGCUCAACUUCGAAAUCGCAGUCGAAACUGUUAGGCUAGAGUAUAGUAGGGGUAAAGGGAAUUUCCAGUGGAGCGGUGAAAUGCGUAGAGAUUGGAAAGAACACCGAUGGCGAAGGCACUUUACUGGGCUAUUACUGACACUCAGAGACGAAAGCUAGGGUAGCAAAUGGGAUUAGAUACCCCAGUAGUC
This 423-nucleotide ribosomal RNA is filed under the name uncultured eukaryotic phytoplankton. RNAcentral's name for it is "bacterial SSU rRNA". It matches the Rfam family "Bacterial small subunit ribosomal RNA", at positions 358 to 795 of the family's 1533-position model. The record is from RNAcentral.